CAGAUAACUUGUUUAUAUUAGCAAUGCAGGGUUAAUCUAUUAGUAAAUUCAUUCCCAAAGGGCUAAGGAGAAUUGACAGUGUCCUGAAGUACGAAAAGACAAGAUUAACCUGUCUACAUCCCACAAGGUCGGGUAAACAUGGUACAUCUGCAACAGAAAGCCAACCGAGAAAGGAAGAAAAAAAGAGAAAAGAUCUAGGAAAGUUGCACGGCAGAAGAUCCCUAGUAAGAAAGAUGCAAAAUCUUAAAUUAAUCCACAACUCCAUCAAGAAAUGCCAACGGGGAAAAUAUCCUGUGGGCUGCAUUUAGAAAAUACCCUCUCUAUUCCUGUUCCAUAGGUGCAGGUUCUUCAUCCUUCUGCUCCUCUAGACUCCCUGGUUCAGCAUCAGUCUCAUUGUAACUAUCAAUGGCCAUUUUGUCAUCCUUUUCUUUGGCAAGUUUGGACCCAGUAUCAUUAUCCAAAAUCUUCAGAUCUGUAGGAACCUGACCUGAACUCAAUGCCUUUUCAAGUCUGGCAACCUCUUCAAGAGUUUGGGAAUUCACAAUAGCAGCCUUUAUAGCUAUAAUUUGCUCAGGUGUAGGCGCAACCACCUUCGGAUUCUGCUGCUCCUCUGCAACAUCUAUAACAUUUGGAACCUCACCUGGUGUGAAUGUCUUUGCAGAUUCCUUUUUAGCCUCCUCUUCAACUUCUUUGGACGCAAACAAAUUUCCUGCUUCCACUCUCUCCUUGCUUUUCACUUUCUUGAAGUCAAGAACACGAAGUGAUUUCAAUUUGUGAAUCACGUACAGUCUAUAGUUUGGUUUUUUUGUGAUAUUAUUAUCCAAAAGACUGAGGAACUGCAGCUUUGGAAGAGAAGCAAGAGGAUCAAUCUCCACCAAAUUGACAAGCCUGUUGUUUGUAAGAACCAAUGUGUGUAAUUUUGGCAAGAACUCUCCAAUGUUGGGAUUGAUACGAGUUAUUCUGUUGUUAUUGAUGAGCAAAGUGCCCAACCGAGUAAGAUAUGGCAUGUUUUCCAGCUUCACAAUCUCGUUGUCAGACAAAUCGAUAGUAUCAAAUUGGUCCUCAGUAGCACCCAAGUUUUCUAUUACAGGGAUCUUAUUACCUCGAAGAUCCAAUUCCCGCUCCUUAAUAGCAUUGAAAAAAUGAGGACUUUUCCAAAUCAAGUCAGCAGUGAGUCUCACCAUCUCUUCUUCUCUUCUCUACGAACUUACCUAACCACACUUAUCCAACAGACAACAACGACGAGCGGCUUCUCUUAUCUCUGAACUUCUGCUGCUGCACCUUUAGCAAAGGGCUUAGGGGUUUACGCGUUGAGACAGAGUGGAAGUGGUGGACUCCAAAUUUGGCUCAGUUUUUGCC
This 1359-nucleotide unclassified non-coding RNA is filed under the name Hevea brasiliensis (rubber tree). The record is from RNAcentral. Lineage: Eukaryota; Viridiplantae; Streptophyta; Magnoliopsida; Malpighiales; Euphorbiaceae.